GGCAGGCGGGUGCUAUACAUGCAGUCGAGCGGGGUUGUAGUAGAAGCUUGCUUCUACAUCAACCUAGCGGCGGACGGGUGAGUAACACGUAGGCAACCUGCCCACAAGACAGGGAUAACUACCGGAAACGGUAGCUAAUACCCGAUACAUCCUUUUCCUGCAUGGGAGAAGGAGGAAAGACGGAGCAAUCUGUCACUUGUGGACUGGGCCUUGCGGCGCCAUUAGCUAGUUGGUAGCGUAAAGGCCUACCAAGGCGACGAUGCGUAGCCGACCUGAGAGGGUGAUCGGCCACACUCGCACUGAGACACGGCCCAGACUCCUACGGGAGGCAUGCAGUAGGGAAUCUUCCGCAAUGGGCGAAAGCCUGACGGAGCAACGCCGCGUGAGUGAUGAAGGUUUUCGGAUCGUAAAGCUCUGUUGCCAGGGAAGAACGUCUUGUAGAGUAACUGCUACAAGAGUGACGGUACCUGAGAAGAAAAGCCCCGGCUAACUACGUGCCAGCAGCCGCGGUAAUACGUAGGGGGCAAGCGUUGUCCGGAAUUAUUGGGCGUAAAGCGCGCGCAGGCGGCUCUUUAAGUCUGGUGUUUAAUCCCGAGGCUCAACUUCGGGUCGCACUGGAAACUGGAGAGCUUGAGUGCAGAAGAGGAGAGUGGAAUUCCACGUGUAGCGGUGAAAUGCGUAGAGAUGUGGAGGAACACCAGUGGCGAAGGCGACUCUCUGGGCUGUAACUGACGCUGAGGCGCGAAAGCGUGGGGAGCAAACAGGAUUAGAUACCCUGGGUAGUCCACGCCGUAAACGAUGAAUGCUAGGUGUUAGGGGUUUCGAUACCCUUGGUUGCUCGAAGUUAACACAUUAUAGCAUUCCGCCUGGGGAGUACCGCUCGCAAGACUGCAAACUCAAAGGAACUAGUACGGGGACCACGCACAAGCAGCGGGAGUAUGUCGCUCUAAUUCGAAUGCGAACCCGAAGAAGCCUCACCAAGCCGUGACAUCCCGUCUUGAACGAGACGAGAGAUAGCACCGUUUCUCUUUUCGGGACAGAGGAGACAGAACGAUCGAUGCAGGGACUAGCCGUACAGCAUCCCUGUCCUCGACAUGUUGAAGAAGUUAAGUCCAGAUCAAUAACGAGCGCAUACCCUAUAUGCUUAGUGUGUCCAGCAGGUCAACCUGAAGCACUCAUGAAGCAGACUCGCGCGGUGACAAACCGGAGGAAGGUGAGGAUGACGUCAAAUCUGAGUCAUGCCCCUUAUGACCUGGGCUACACACGUACUACAAUGGCCGGUACAACGGGAAGCGAAAUCGCGAGGUGGAGCCAAUCCUAGAAAAGCCGGUCUCAGUUCGGAUUGUAGGCUGCAACUCGCCUACAUGAAGUCGGAAUUGCUAGUAAUCGCGGAUCAGCAUGCCGCGGUGAAUACGUUCCCGGGUCUUGUACACACCGCCCGUCACACCACGAGAGUUUACAACACCCGAAGUCGGUGGGGUAACCCGCAAGGGAGCCAGCCGCCGAAGGUGGGUAGAAUUGU
RNAcentral lists this ribosomal RNA (1522 nucleotides) under Paenibacillus polymyxa. RNAcentral describes it as "bacterial SSU rRNA". It matches the Rfam family "Bacterial small subunit ribosomal RNA". The record is from RNAcentral. Lineage: Bacteria; Bacillati; Bacillota; Bacilli; Caryophanales; Paenibacillaceae.